This 465-nucleotide ribosomal RNA is filed under the name uncultured bacterium. RNAcentral's name for it is "partial 16S ribosomal RNA". It matches the Rfam family "Bacterial small subunit ribosomal RNA", at positions 28 to 507 of the family's 1533-position model. The record is from RNAcentral.
GACGAACGCUGGCGGCGUGCUUAACACAUGCAAGUCGAGCGAGGCCCCUCCUUCGGGAGGGUGUCCUAGCGGCGAACGGGUGAGUAACACGUGGGCAACCUGCCCUCAGCUCUGGGAUAACUCCGGGAAACCGGGGCUAAUACCGGAUACGACCUCCACGGGCAUCUGCGGAGGUGGAAAGUUUUUCGGCUGAGGAUGGGCCCGCGGCCUAUCAGCUAGUUGGUGGGGUAGUGGCCCACCAAGGCGACGACGGGUAGCCGGCCUGAGAGGGCGACCGGCCACACUGGGACUGAGACGCGGCCCAGACUCCUACGGGAGGCAGCAGUGGGGAAUAUUGCGCAAUGGGCGAAAGCCUGACGCAGCGACGCCGCGUGAGGGACGAAGGCCUUCGGGUUGUAAACCUCUUUCAGCAGGGACGAAGCGAAAGUGACGGUACCUGCAGAAGAAGCACCGGCCAACUACGUG